UACGGAGGGAGCUAGCGUUGUUCGGAAUUACUGGGCGUAAAGCGCACGUAGGCGGCUAUUCAAGUCGGUGGUGAAAGCCCGGGGCUCAACCCCGGAACUGCCCUCGAAACUAGAUAGCUAGAAUCUUGGAGAGGCGAGUGGAAUUCCGAGUGUAGAGGUGAAAUUCGUAGAUAUUCGGAAGAACACCAGUGGCGAAGGCGACUCGCUGGACAAGUAUUGACGCUGAGGUGCGAAAGCGUGGGGAGCAAACAGG
RNAcentral lists this ribosomal RNA (253 nucleotides) under uncultured bacterium. Its description in RNAcentral is "partial 16S ribosomal RNA". It matches the Rfam family "Bacterial small subunit ribosomal RNA", at positions 524 to 776 of the family's 1533-position model. The record is from RNAcentral.